AUGUUUAUUAAAUCAGUUUCACCUUCCAGGGUAUGGCUGACCGUAUAAUCAGGAUGAGAACUUCACUUAGGGAAAACAUCGAGAAGUUGGGCUCUCCGUUAUCAUGGGAACACAUAACUAAUCAGAUUGGCAUGUUCUUCUAUAGUGGAAUGACUCCUGAACAAGUUGAUUGCUUGACAAAAGAGUUUCACAUUUACAUUGUUGUAGCGGGCCAUGCUUAUUGUUCUAAUUGUUGUAGCUGGCCAUGCUUAUCGUUUUGCUAAUUGUUAUGAUAGGACAUAAAAAACUG
This is a long non-coding RNA of Helianthus annuus (common sunflower), 289 nucleotides long. RefSeq lists it as uncharacterized. The transcript is spliced from 2 exons. The record is from RefSeq and is a predicted model, not a curated record. NCBI's taxonomy places the organism in Eukaryota, Viridiplantae, Streptophyta, Magnoliopsida, Asterales, Asteraceae.